RNAcentral lists this ribosomal RNA (756 nucleotides) under Triticum aestivum (bread wheat). Its description in RNAcentral is "partial small subunit ribosomal RNA". The record is from RNAcentral. Lineage: Eukaryota; Viridiplantae; Streptophyta; Magnoliopsida; Poales; Poaceae.
AUGGCGGACGCCACGCCCACGAAACCCAGCAAGAAAGGUUCCUCCGAGCCCGCCGUCCUCUAUGACGGCGCCAAGGCCAAGACUAAGUCCAAGGCCGUCGUCCACGCCGACACCGAGGACGGGCAUGCCGGCGAUGCGGCGAGUCCUGCUCCUGCCCACCGGACCCGGCUUCUGCGGUGCGCGUGCUGCGGCCUGGCCGCGCUCGCCGCGUUGGCCGCCGUGGUGAUCCUCGUCCUGUCGCUCACCGUGCUGCGGGUCCGGGACCCUGACCUGACCAUGGACUCCGUCACCGUGGAGCGCUUCCACGUGGGGUUCGCGGCGGUUCCCGACGGCCGCCCGCCGCUGCGGAUCAACGCGACGCUGGCCGCUUGGAUCAUGAUCCGGAAUCCAAACUACGCGUCCAUGCGCUUCGGAGCUAGCACGACGGAGAUCUUCCUGGACGGCGUGCCGGACCGCGUGGGCCUCGGGAGCGCGCCGCCAGGGGAGUCGUCGGCACGGAGUACCAGCCGAGUGCGCGGCAGCAUGGACGUGUUCGUCGACAGGGUCGCCCCAGCCGUGGUCGGGGAGGUGCUGUUCGGCCGCGGCGAGGUGUGGCUCACCAGCCGCACGGCCAUGGACGGCAAGGUGAGCGUGCUCGGCGGGCUCUACGGGCGGCGCACGGUGCGCGUUGCCAUGCGGUGCCGCGUCGUGCUGCACGUGUCCGCGGUCGUCGUCGUCGCUGGCUCCCCUUCAUGUGUGGCGGAGUUCGGCCGCUGA